Symphalangus syndactylus (siamang) is the source of this 104-nucleotide small nuclear RNA. The record is from RefSeq and is a predicted model, not a curated record. NCBI's taxonomy places the organism in Eukaryota, Metazoa, Chordata, Mammalia, Primates, Hylobatidae.
GGGCUCAUUUUGGCAGCGCAGGUACUGCAAGUGGAAUGACACAGAGAUGAGCAUGGUCCCUGUGCAAGGAUGACACAGAAAUUCGUGAAGCUCCAUACUGUUUU